Salarias fasciatus (jewelled blenny) is the source of this 1577-nucleotide long non-coding RNA. RefSeq lists it as uncharacterized. The transcript has 9 exons. NCBI's taxonomy places the organism in Eukaryota, Metazoa, Chordata, Actinopteri, Blenniiformes, Blenniidae. The record is from RefSeq and is a predicted model, not a curated record.
GCGGACUGCUUUACGGCAUGCGUCACUUCCCCUGUCGUUAUAAGGACAGAACUCCAGUGUGGGAUUUUGCAAACAUGGCGGAAGGUGGACAACAGAGAAAGAAGCCAAAAGUUUUGUCUGAGGAGGCAAAAAAAAAAGAAAAAGAGAGGCUACUCGGAUAAAAGCACAGUCCAGGAUCAACAUUGGCCCGGCUUUCACUCGCUGGCGUGAGAUGAAAGAUCAGGAGGGAUUUCCGACCGACGCUGCCUUGGCUCUGUUCCUGCUGGACUACUAUCAAAAGGAGCAAGUAACUUCUACUCCCCACAAGCAACACCUCCAACCACUGCAGCGUAUAGUUUCCAGCAUAACAGAAGAGGUCGGACCAUGAUAGGGGAGAACUGAUAGAGGGUGUCCAAAUCCUGGAAGAAGGCACUGGGGCAGAAGAAGCUGGUGUAUUAGAGGCCAGGUCCCAUGCUGUUUGCUCAUGGGCUCAGGCACAUUGCACAGGACUCACAUGGAACAGUAUGCUGAGUGGUGCAGGACAGAAGGGGAGGGACUUCUGUCACAAACAGUGCAUCACAGCUCAGACGGGCUGGUGCAGCCAGAGACCAGUCUGAAAUCUUGCCUUGGAUUAAAGACAUUGUGAACCAUUUCUGGUACUGUGCCAAGCAGGCAUCCACUGUCGAGCAGUUCAAGAUGAAAUGGCAUGCUGUAAUUCAUCACAUUCGGAACCAGCACACAUGGGCCACUGGAUCUUGUGAGCAUGAGCCACUGGGUGAAGAUAUACAGGAAAAACCAUGGAUAAAACAAGGUUCAGCAGCUCACCAGGCUCUUGUAGCCAUCGUCCUGGAGAAGAGAUGGUUGAAGAAUGUUGUGAAGUUCAUCAACUUCAGGACAACAUCCGAUCUGGAAAGCUUCCAGAAUCACAUACUCAUGUACGCAGGAAAGCGGUUCUCCUAUACUCCAGCAGUGUAUCGGACGCGGACUCUGCUUGCUGCGAUAGACUACAACUGUGACAAUGGCCGCGCCCCGGCACGAAACAAAGAUGGACACAAGAUUUACAGACGAUGCUACAAUAAGAAGUCCAAAUCCUGGAGUGUCUGCACAGUGAAGGAAAAGGAGUACUCCUACAUUCAAGACCUGCAGAGAGGCAUUCUUCGGAAGAGGCUUGAAAGUGGAGGUGGCCUUCCCAAGACACAGACCCUGAGGCCAGAUGACCCCCGGAAUUUUGGGGUUCUGGCUUCAACACAGCCGCCACCAACAGCUGAGCUUGUGAGGACGCACGUGAAAUAUGGUGAAGGUGUUCCCCAAAGUGAACACUGACGAUCCUUCCUUGUCUGCUUUCAUAAAUGCACAUCAAUACAACAUAUCACUCUGACAGGCUGACUACAGACACAUAGUGACAGCUUUACUGGACCCCCACCCACACUGCUGCUACUGUACUUCUUGUAAUUGUUCUCAGUAACUUCUAACAUUGUCACACAGAUUAUUCAUUCAUUCAUUCAUUCAUUCAUUCAUUUUCUGCCGCUGCUCCCUUUCGGGGUCGCGGGUGGCUGGAGCCGAUCCCAGCUGCUGUGGGCGAAGGCGGGGUACACCCU